GAUGAAGAACGCAGCGAAAUGCGAAAAGUAGUGUGAAUUGCAGAAUUCAGUGAAUCAUCGAAUCUUUGAACGCACAUUGCGCCCCUUGGUAUUCCAUGGGGCAUGCCUGUUCGAGCGUCAUUUGUACCCUCAAGCUCAGCUUGGUGUUGGGUGUCUGUCCCCGCCUCACCGCGGGGACUCGCCUCAAAAUCAUUGGCGGCCGGUACGUUGGCUUCGAGCGCAGCAGAAACGCGAACUCGAGGCCCGGCGGAUCGGCGACCAGAAGUCACUUCUUCACAGUUUGACCUCGGAUCAGGUAGGGAUACCCGCUGAACUUAAGCAUAUCAAUAAGCGGAGGA
This 338-nucleotide unclassified non-coding RNA is filed under the name soil metagenome. Its description in RNAcentral is "partial contains 5.8S ribosomal RNA, internal transcribed spacer 2, and large subunit ribosomal RNA". The stretch from base 1 to 120 matches the Rfam family "5.8S ribosomal RNA", at positions 35 to 154 of the family's 154-position model. The record is from RNAcentral.